This 474-nucleotide ribosomal RNA is filed under the name uncultured bacterium. RNAcentral's name for it is "SSU rRNA". It matches the Rfam family "Bacterial small subunit ribosomal RNA", at positions 27 to 518 of the family's 1533-position model. The record is from RNAcentral.
GGGAUGAACGCUGGCGGUAUGCCUUACACAUGCAAGUCGUACGAGAGUUUUUAACUCAAGUGGCGGACGGGUGAGUAACACGUAAGAAUUUGCCUUUAGGAGGGGGAUAACAACUGGAAACGGUUGCUAAUACCCCAUAUGCUUUCGAGUGAAACGGAUUUUCCGCCUAAAGAGAAGCUUGCGGCUGAUUAGCUAGUUGGCGGGGUAAUGGCCCACCAAGGCGACGAUCCGUAGCUGGUCUGAGAGGAUGAUCAGCCACACUGGAACUGAGACACGGUCCAGACUCCUACGGGAGGCAGCAAUGGGGAAUAUUGGACAAUGGGCGCAAGCCUGGAUCCAGCCAUGCCGCGUGUGUGAAGAAGGCCUUCGGGUUGUAAAGCACUUUUGUUGGGGAAGAAAAGCUACCGGUUAAUACCCGGGAGUCAUGACGGUACCCAAAGAAUAAGCACCGGCUAACUUCGUGCCAGCAGCCGC